This 596-nucleotide ribosomal RNA is filed under the name Sclerophyton bajaensis. RNAcentral's name for it is "eukaryotic LSU rRNA". It matches the Rfam family "Eukaryotic large subunit ribosomal RNA", at positions 409 to 811 of the family's 3401-position model. Lineage: Eukaryota; Metazoa; Cnidaria; Anthozoa; Scleralcyonacea; Spongiodermidae. The record is from RNAcentral.
UGAAAGGGAAGCGAAUGGAGUUAGCAAUUCGUCUCGCCAGAUUCAGUCUUCCGGUCGCCGCGAUGCGACCGCUCUCGAUCUUCGUAGACGGGACGAACGCGGACGCGGCGCCUGGACGGCGCACUUCCGGCGGGCGAGCGUCGACGUCGGCCGUCGGCGGGCAAGAAUGUCGCGAGGAAGGUAGGACGCGCGUUUGCGGUGUCUGUUAAGCCUCGCGAUAGAACGGCUCGCCUGGCGACCGUGGCCGAAGUUUUGCGACGCGUGCCUUCUCCUCGGAGGGCUGGUGACCCGUUCAGGCGGUUCGGUUGUCGAUCGCGGCGGACGGCACGCCCUGUGCGCUCGAACCGCUGCCGGCCGAUCGGACGGUGUUCACACACCACGCGUCGAGGAUGUCGACGACCAUACGGCUCCAUCCGACCCGUCUUGAAACACGGACCAAGGAGUCUAACGUGUGCGCAAGUCUCCGGGUGAUCGAAACCUGCAGGCACAAUGAAAGUGAAGGUGGCCUCGUGUCGCCGAGGUGAGAGGUCGCAAAACUGCAUCAUCGACCGACCUAUUCUACUCCUAGAAAGGUUCGAGUAGGAGCGUACCUGUUG